GAUGAACGCUGGCGGCGUGCCUAAUACAUGCAAGUCGAGCGGUAAGGCCUCUUCGGAGGUACACGAGCGGCGGACGGCUGAGUAACGCGUAGGAACGUACCCCAAACUGAGGGAUAAGCACCAGAAAUGGUGUCUAAUACCGCAUGUGCUCUAAGGAGUAAAGCUUCGGCGGUUUGGGAACGGCCUGCGUACGAUUAGAUUGUUGGUGAGGUAAUGGCUCACCAAGUCGACGAUCGUUAGCUGGUCUGAGAGGAUGAUCAGCCAGACUGGGACUGAGACACGGCCCAGACUCCUACGGGAGGCAGCAGUAGGGAAUUUUCCACAAUGGGCGAAAGCCUGAUGGAGCAACGCCGCGUGCAGGAUGAAGGCCUUUGGGUCGUAAACUGCUUUUAUCUGUGACGAUUUUGACGGUAGCAGAUGAAUAAGGAUCGGCUAACUCCGUGCCAGCCGCCGCAGUAA
Molecule: ribosomal RNA, 459 nt
Filed under: uncultured bacterium
Lineage: Bacteria
Description: partial 16S ribosomal RNA
Rfam family: Bacterial small subunit ribosomal RNA
Source: RNAcentral